UGAGGAGUUUUGCGCAAUGGGGGAAACCCUGACGCAGCGACACCGCGUGAGUGAUGAAGGCUUUCGAGUCGUAAAGCUCUGUCAAUAGGGAAGAAGUGUGUAUGGGCUAAUACCUCAUGCAUUUGACGGUACCUAUAAAGGAAGCACCGGCUAACUCCGUGCCAGCAGCCGCGGUAA
This 177-nucleotide ribosomal RNA is filed under the name uncultured bacterium. Its description in RNAcentral is "partial 16S ribosomal RNA". It matches the Rfam family "Bacterial small subunit ribosomal RNA", at positions 355 to 523 of the family's 1533-position model. The record is from RNAcentral.